CGAAUGGCAUGCCGAAUUAGGCGAGGCGAAGCCGAGCCGUUUGUUUAUUUUUGUAGUGAUAUCCCCUUGGUACGAAGCGAAAAAGGUGACACACCGACAUCCCCUUGGAAUAAAGCGAAAACAGCGGUUGUAUAUAAAAAACUGUACUCACCGAGGCCGAAGGCCGAGGGAAGUUAACAGACAUAGUAUGAACAACAAAGCGACCCGCGCAACCGAGGCGAAGCCGAGGUGAGCGGACACAACGCCCCCCAACACUAAGGCCAACACUAAAAUUUUACUCAAAAAAAACUCAGCAAUCUGCUAAAACUAACGAUUCGUUAUCUAAUAAAAAGUAAAAACAGCAUAAAUAAGAAAAAAAAAAAUGUCAGAAAAACUCAGGCUGUCCUGCAUUUAACCGCUGCUAUUUUCAGCUACUGUCUAUAAUUUCAAUCAAUAGUUUUGUGAUUUACUUGAAAAAAAGUGAAAUAAUAAGAAAUUUAGAGUUGAAAUCAAUGCAGACAAUAGAUAUUUUCUACUUUUUCUUCUUCUGUUUUUCAAUACUCAAUCAAUAGUCGACUUGUCAAAUGUUUUGAAUCAUGUAAUUGUAACUGCAAGCACGAUUAUACAUGAUAAUAGAUCUGCAUCUCAUCGAAAUUAAAUGACGAAUCUCAGUGUAUCGGUAAUGAAAUUGAGUGAAAUAGUCGUGUACAGUAUUCUUGAAUGAAAUGGUGAUGUAAAGUGUAAUUAAUUUACAAUGCUCUUAGAGCGGUGAUAUUGUUAUUUAUAAUCACAAAAACCUGUUAUGUCAAUAUAGUCAAUAUGCAAGCUGUACCUAAGAAUAACAAUAACAGUAUCGAUAGAAAUCAGGGAGAAUUGAACAACUAUUUGCUUUUAGCAGAAAAUAUUCCAAAAUACCCUUGCUGUUUUAAAGAAAUAUACCCCCCUGCAUGUGCUCCUGAUAAAUGUGGAAGAUGGAGAUCAAUGUCGAAAGUAAUGAAAUUGAAGCCUGAGUCCUGUAAACGAAGAUGGAAAACUCUAAGGAAACAUUUUGGUCUUGGUCUUCUCACUAACAGACAGCUUAUUGAUAAAUUACAAUUUUUGAAGGAUGUUGCGAAAGAAAUUCCAGUCACUGAGUUGCGUAACAAUUUUGACUCAUUUCAUAUUCCAGUCGUUGAGUCGCGUAACAAUUUUGCUUCAUCUUGUAUUCCAAUCGUUGAGUCGCGUAACAAUUUUACUCCGUCUCGUAUUCCAGUAGCUAAGACUCGUAACAAUGUUACUUCAUUUCGUAGUAAUACUUCAUCGAGAUAUAUACCGAGAAAUCCAAUUAAAAGUUACAAUUUACGUUCAAGAACAAGUGGAAGCGCUGGAACGUGUAUCGCAAGGAUGAGAAUCUAUACCCGGCCUAUCGGAAUGAAUUCAAUAAUCAUUAGACCUAAUGAAGAAAACGUUUCUCAACAAACUAAGGUUGCUAAAUUAUCUGAGCAUGCGAAGGAUAUUCUCAAUACCGAAAUUACAGAAGAUUGUGAUUCAGAUGUACAAAUUAUAGAGCCGUACAUUGAAACGAUUGUUGUUGAUGACUGAUGCAGUUGCUUUGAAGAGAAUACCUUCAUAAAUAAGCUUCGUAAAUAAGAUCUUCAUGAAAUUGAUCUCUCUCAGAAAGUGGACUAAAAUGUGUAUUCUCUACUUUCUAAUUACCUACUCGCGAUAUCAUUAAUUUCUGUUAAAAGAAUGUGAUUUUUGUUUUUGAGAAUUUUUUGUCUUGUAAAAAAAAAGUCAUUACUAGUUUUGCUCGUGGUGAAUUUAAAUUUCGAAACGUAAUGCUGUGGUUUUGUGAUUACUUUAUAUUAUUAUUGUUACUUUUUUUAUUUUAAUAUUAUUUUUGAGGAUAAAUUUUAUACGUUGGAAGUAAUUUAAAUGGUUUGAAAACUUAUUGAACUCGCAAAGUCUCGUAAGUCUUUGCGAGUUAUAGGUAAGGAGGAACAGUAAAAAUGCUACUUAAGAUUUAAAUAAGUUCCUAUUAAUCAUAGAAUAUACUUUAUGUUAAUUAUUUAUCACAGCAAUCCUGAAAUAUUAGUCUGUUCAAUAUAAUUAAGGAAAAAAUAUUUCGAAGUUCUCGUCCUUGUUAUUACACGAUCUAGACUUGUUGAUGUUGAAUUGAUUGACUGCAUUCUAUUUUGAUUUUGUUAUGAGUACUUAAGUAAUGAAGUUUAGUGUGAGAAGUGUGAGGAACAAAGCACGUGAUCGUUUUUUAAUUGAUAAAUUUUAUAAAACAAAAAAUAUGUAUAUUGAUAAUGUGAAAAUUGUGGGUCGUGGCCCGUGGGUGAUAUUUAUUGCGGGUGUAAUUUGUUUUUCUAUCAAUAAAGCUCAAACUUUGAUUCCUC
This is a long non-coding RNA of Planococcus citri (citrus mealybug), 2360 nucleotides long. RefSeq lists it as uncharacterized. The record is from RefSeq and is a predicted model, not a curated record. The transcript has 2 exons. NCBI's taxonomy places the organism in Eukaryota, Metazoa, Arthropoda, Insecta, Hemiptera, Pseudococcidae.